This 509-nucleotide ribosomal RNA is filed under the name Dipteromimus sp. BYU IGCEP150. RNAcentral's name for it is "partial 16S ribosomal RNA". It matches the Rfam family "Bacterial large subunit ribosomal RNA", at positions 1831 to 2601 of the family's 2925-position model. The record is from RNAcentral. Lineage: Eukaryota; Metazoa; Arthropoda; Insecta; Ephemeroptera; Dipteromimidae.
CGCUUCUUGUAAUUAUAAGAGGUCUAGCCUGCCCGCUGAAAAUUGAAGGGCCGCGGUAUUUUGACCGUGCAAAGGUAGCAUAAUCAUUAGUCUCUUAAUUAGAGGCCGGUAUGAAUGGUUGGACGAGGUGUUUACUGUCUCACAAGGAUUGGGUUAUAAUUUAACUUUUCAGUCAAAAGGCUGAAAUAAGGUUGGAGGACGAGAAGACCCUAUAGAGCUUGACAAUUAUGGGUGAUAAAUUUAUUUAGAGUAGAGUAGGGUUUGACUUAAAAUUGUUUGGUUGGGGUGACGGGGAGAUAGGGUAAACUCUUCUUGGAGAGUAAUAUGGAUGAAUAGGUUCUUGAUCCAUUAAUAAUGAUUAUAAGACUAAGUUACCUUAGGGAUAACAGCGUAAUCUUUUUCGAGAGUUCUAAUCGACAAAAAGGAUUGCGACCUCGAUGUUGGAUUAAGAGUAAUUUUGGGUGUAGAAGUUCAAAGUUUAGGUCUGUUCGACCUUUAAAUUCUUACAU